CGUAGGGUGCGAGCGUUAAUCGGAAUUACUGGGCGUAAAGCGUGCGCAGGCGGCGCCGCAAGUCGAGUGUGAAAUCCCCGAGCUUAACUUGGGAAUUGCGCUCGAAACUACGGUGCUGGAGUGUGGCAGAGGGAGGUGGAAUUCCACGUGUAGCGGUGAAAUGCGUAGAGAUGUGGAGGAACACCGAUGGCGAAGGCAGCCUCCUGGGCCAACACUGACGCUCAUGCACGAAAGCGUGGGGAGCAAACAGGAUUAGAUACCCUGGUAGUCCACGCCCUAAACGAUGAUGACUAGUUGUUGGGGGAGUUAAAUCCCUUAGUAACGCAGCUAACGCGUGAAGUCAUCCGCCUGGGGAGUACGGUCGCAAGAUUA
RNAcentral lists this ribosomal RNA (372 nucleotides) under uncultured organism. RNAcentral describes it as "bacterial SSU rRNA". It matches the Rfam family "Bacterial small subunit ribosomal RNA", at positions 526 to 896 of the family's 1533-position model. The record is from RNAcentral.